CAAAACAAUGCAUUACUAAAAAAAAGGGGUCCUUCUUUCAGAUAUUUUACCAAGGUCGGAGUUCUGUUUAAGUGCUCACUGCUGGGUUACAAUACACAUAAUCUAAUUGAAUAGGAAUAAAUGAAAAGAAUGAACCAGAAUAGCAUUUUCUAUCCUAUGAAACACAAAAGGGGGUUUUAUAAACCAUGCAGCUGAAACCCCAACUAUUUUGGCACUUAUCCUUUAACACUAAAUAUCAAACAAUACACAUGGGGCAUCAAUACAAAGGCCUGUGUUUCUUUGUUAAGAAGAAAAAAAAA
This is a long non-coding RNA of Nanorana parkeri, 299 nucleotides long. RefSeq lists it as uncharacterized. The transcript has 4 exons. The record is from RefSeq and is a predicted model, not a curated record. NCBI's taxonomy places the organism in Eukaryota, Metazoa, Chordata, Amphibia, Anura, Dicroglossidae.